RNAcentral lists this unclassified non-coding RNA (252 nucleotides) under uncultured fungus. Its description in RNAcentral is "sequence contains ITS2". The record is from RNAcentral. Lineage: Eukaryota; Fungi.
AGCACACCUUGCACUCUUUGGUAUUCCUCAAACUACUUCUAUUUUGAAGGCAGUUUGGAUGUGAGAGUUGCUGGUUUUUUUCUCAAAUCAGUUCUCUUUAAUAGUAGUUUGGCUUUGUCCCACAUUCUCAAUUGAUGUGAUAGUUUAUCUACAUCACUAGAGGAUGAAUCUGCUUCUAACUUGGUUGGUAUUUUUUGACUGACACUUUGACAAUUUGACCUCAAAUCAGGUACGACUACCCGCUGAACUUAA